CGGGACGUAGCUCAGUAGGUAGAGCGCCUGGUUUGGGACCAGGAGGCCGCAGGUUCGAGCCCUGUCGUCCCGACCA
This 76-nucleotide transfer RNA is filed under the name Candidatus Uhrbacteria bacterium. RNAcentral's name for it is "tRNA-Pro". It matches the Rfam family "tRNA". Rfam says of the family: Transfer RNA (tRNA) molecules are approximately 80 nucleotides in length. Their secondary structure includes four short double-helical elements and three loops (D, anti-codon, and T loops). Further hydrogen bonds mediate the characteristic L-shaped molecular structure. tRNAs have two regions of fundamental functional importance: the anti-codon, which is responsible for specific mRNA codon recognition, and the 3' end, to which the tRNAs corresponding amino acid is attached (by aminoacyl-tRNA synthetases). tRNAs cope with the degeneracy of the genetic code in two manners: having more than one tRNA (with a specific anti-codon) for a particular amino acid; and 'wobble' base-pairing, i.e. permitting non-standard base-pairing at the 3rd anti-codon position. The record is from RNAcentral. Lineage: Bacteria; Candidatus Uhriibacteriota.